RNAcentral lists this ribosomal RNA (423 nucleotides) under Triticum aestivum (bread wheat). RNAcentral describes it as "partial small subunit ribosomal RNA". The record is from RNAcentral. Lineage: Eukaryota; Viridiplantae; Streptophyta; Magnoliopsida; Poales; Poaceae.
AUGCAUGAGUUAACUAAGGAAAACAUUGAGCGUAUGAAUGCUAAAUAUAAACUUGCUGGAGAUAAGGGUAGAAAACAUGUUGUGUUUGCACCUGGAGAUCUUGUUUGGUUACAUUUGCGUAAGGAUAGAUUUCCUGAUUUGCGCAAAUCAAAGCUAAUGCCACGUGCUGAUGGUCCCUUUAAGGUGUUAGAGAAAAUAAAUGAUAAUGCAUAUAAACUUGAGCUGCCUGCAGAUUUUGGGGUUAGUCCCAAUUUUAACAUUGCAGAUUUGAAGCCUUAUGUGGGUGAGGAAGAUGAUUUCCGUCGAGGACGCCUUCAUUUCAAGAAGGGGAGGAUGAUGAGGACAUCAAUACCAUUGUUACACCCACAGGCCCUGCUGCUAUACAUACUGGACCAAUUACUAGAGCUCGCGCACGCCAACUAA